GAAUACGGCCAUGCCACCCUGAACAUGCCUGAUCCCGUCUGAUCUCGGAAGCUAAGCAGGGUCGGGCCUGGUUAGUACUUGGUCGGGAGACCACCUAGGAAGAUCAGGUGCUAUGUAAA
RNAcentral lists this ribosomal RNA (119 nucleotides) under Pteropus alecto (black flying fox). Lineage: Eukaryota; Metazoa; Chordata; Mammalia; Chiroptera; Pteropodidae. RNAcentral also lists the same sequence under 1 other name. The record is from RNAcentral.